This 253-nucleotide ribosomal RNA is filed under the name uncultured bacterium. Its description in RNAcentral is "partial 16S ribosomal RNA". It matches the Rfam family "Bacterial small subunit ribosomal RNA", at positions 524 to 776 of the family's 1533-position model. The record is from RNAcentral.
UACGUAGGGUGCGAGCGUUGUCCAGAAUUACUGGGCGUAAAGAGCUCGUAGGUGGUUUGUCGCGUUGUUCGUGAAAACCGGGGGCUUAACCCUCGGCGUGCGGGCGAUACGGGCAGACUUGAGUACUGCAGGGGAGACUGGAAUUCCUGGUGUAGCGGUGGAAUGCGCAGAUAUCAGGAGGAACACCGGUGGCGAAGGCGGGUCUCUGGGCAGUAACUGACGCUGAGGAGCGAAAGCGUGGGGAGCGAACAGG